GAAAUGGCAAACCACUCCAGUAUCUCUGCCAAGAAAAUCCUCAAUGGGGCAUGAAGAGUUAGUUAAUUCUGAAAAACUACUGAACAAGAAUGGAUCUUCACUACAACCCUGGAGAUGAGGAAACUGAGGUGCUGAGAGAAGUGGACUGCCAGAGAGACCAUCAGAGACAUGUUUGGAACCUUCAUAUCCAGUGCCAUUUUCCCUGUUCCACAGAAGGGAUUUUGAAGGAACAUGUUUUACUCAUACAUGCUUAUGAGCUAACAUGAAAGACAAUGGCGAAGUUCAACUAGGUAUUAUGUGAUUGUUCAGACUCCCCUGACAGUUGGUAAAAAGAACAUUAAGUUUU
Molecule: non-coding RNA, 346 nt
Organism: Phascolarctos cinereus (koala)
Lineage: Eukaryota; Metazoa; Chordata; Mammalia; Diprotodontia; Phascolarctidae
Source: RefSeq, a predicted model, not a curated record